CAAGAAAAGCGCCAAAACUGCUGCGAAGUAGUGACGGAAAGCCACGGAUCUCCAGAAGAUAGCCGGGUUGCCUUG
This 75-nucleotide non-coding RNA is filed under the name Desulfamplus magnetovallimortis. RNAcentral describes it as "c-di-GMP sequence". It matches the Rfam family "c-di-GMP-I riboswitch aptamer". Rfam says of the family: GEMM was predicted in a large-scale screen for bacterial structured RNA regulatory elements. Genes associated with GEMM are involved in a diverse array of functions, including chemotaxis regulation, signal transduction, secretion and chitin. Lineage: Bacteria; Pseudomonadati; Thermodesulfobacteriota; Desulfobacteria; Desulfobacterales; Desulfobacteraceae. The record is from Rfam by way of RNAcentral.